GCUUGCACCGAGAUUCACAGUGGGCGAGUGGCGGACGGGUGAGUAACACGUGGGUAACCUGCCCUUAAGUGGGGGAUAACAUUUGGAAACAGAUGCUAAUACCGCAUAGAUCCAAGAACCGCAUGGUUCUUGGCUGAAAGAUGGCGUAAGCUAUCGCUUUUGGAUGGACCCGCGGCGUAUUAGCUAGUUGGUGAGGUAAUGGCUCACCAAGGCGAUGAUACGUAGCCGAACUGAGAGGUUGAUCGGCCACAUUGGGACUGAGACACGGCCCAAACUCCUACGGGAGGCAGCAGUAGGGAAUCUUCCACAAUGGACGCAAGUCUGAUGGAGCAACGCCGCGUGAGUGAAGAAGGCUUUCGGGUCGUAAAACUCUGUUGUUGGAGAAGAAUGGUCGGCAGAGUAACUGUUGCCGGCGUGACGGUAUCCAACCAGAAAGCCACGGCUAACUACGUGCCAGCAGCCGCGGUAAUACGUAGGUGGCAAGCGUUAUCCGGAUUUAUUGGGCGUAAAGCGAGCGCAGGCGGUUUUUUAAGUCUGAUGUGAAAGCCCUCGGCUUAACCGAGGAAGCGCAUCGGAAACUGGGAAACUUGAGUGCAGAAGAGGACAGUGGAACUCCAUGUGUAGCGGUGAAAUGCGUAGAUAUAUGGAAGAACACCAGUGGCGAAGGCGGCUGUCUGGUCUGUAACUGACGCUGAGGCUCGAAAGCAUGGGUAGCGAACAGGAUUAGAUACCCUGGUAGUCCAUGCCGUAAACGAUGAAUGCUAGGUGUUGGAGGGUUUCCGCCCUUCAGUGCCGCAGCUAACGCAUUAAGCAUUCCGCCUGGGGAGUA
This 829-nucleotide ribosomal RNA is filed under the name uncultured bacterium. RNAcentral's name for it is "bacterial SSU rRNA". It matches the Rfam family "Bacterial small subunit ribosomal RNA", at positions 69 to 882 of the family's 1533-position model. The record is from RNAcentral.